Molecule: small RNA, 2464 nt
Filed under: Histoplasma capsulatum
Lineage: Eukaryota; Fungi; Ascomycota; Eurotiomycetes; Onygenales; Ajellomycetaceae
Also listed under: 1 other name
Description: hypothetical RNA
Source: RNAcentral
GCCAAUUCUUUAUGAAGCUUCAGAUUUUCUUUGCUAAGUGCUUCCUUUUCCUCCUUUAGCUCCGUGACCAUACGGAAAAGAGAUCCCUUUUGGUCAUUCAGUUCGACAACCUCUGCCUCUACUCUCUCUUUCUGUGCCAGUCUCUUCUCGAGCGCGAAGGCUACAUCUUGAGCCUCUGCAUCCUUCUUUGCCUGACUUUCGGUCAAUAGAGCUGCUUGAGCCACCAUAAUUUCACGCAGCUCAUUUGCUGUUGACGAAAUCUGGUCUUGGAUUUGGUCCAGCUUUUCAAUUUGAGAUAUAGAUUUGCCAGUAGAGGCAGCGUGGUCAAGAAGAGUGUUCAACUUGUCGUGGACUUGUGUGUCGUCGUACUUUUCCGGGAUAACAAUCUCUCGAGGCUCCACUGGAGGAGGUGGUGGGGGAAGAGCUGGUAAUAAAGGAGGGAUGGCUGAUGGGAUGGCUGAGACGUUUCUUUGGAGUUCCUCGCUAGUCUGUUGCGAGUGGUCAUAAUGCUUUGAGACCAUGGACAAGAUAUCUUGGAUAGUAGUGAGAAUUUUUGGAUGGGAGUCAGCGAGUUGGCUUUCUAGUCGAUUUGUUGCUUCAAGUGCUCGUGUUAAUUCUCCCUUGAGAUGAUCAUGCUGUGAUUGGACGUCAGAGCGGAGGUCAUCCACUUUCGAAAAGGAUUCAUCGACACGAUGGAAAAAGGUCUUAGCAUCAUCGCUCAUCCUCUCACAAGCCUGAGUUACGCUGUCUCCCAUGCCACCUAUAACGAGCUUGAGAUCUUCUGCUAUGUUUUUGGUGUUCGUCAAGGUGUCCAGGCUUUGGACAUCACGUUGUUCGAUAGCAGUGAAUUUUGAAUCUGCUAGCAUCUGCGCGUCUUCGUACUUAGCCAACAACUCAGCAAACUUCUCGUCGAUUUUCGUUCCAAGGUCCAACACUAUUGCUGCUCGGGCUUCCUCGUGUUUUGCAGACGAGGAAAUUUCUCUUUCAGCCGUUUCAAUUUUCUCAGCCUCCCGAUCACCAUGGGAUCGGUCAAAUUCGCGAGUGAUGAGGUCACUAAGCUCCUUGAGGCUUUCAGCGGUAGCGAAUGACUCUGACGCAUCACUCAACGCUCCCAGAAUUGUCUUGAUGUCGACAAGGCCUUCAUCGCUGUCGGUGAGUUUGCUCUUGAGUUCAUCCUUCAAAUCAGUGAUAAGCUGCUUAGCUUCGUCGAUUUUUUCUGCCAAUCCACCAUGCUCGAUCUUUCGGGACUCAAACGCCUGAGCCGUGAGGUCGUUUUCCACCUCCACCUUUUCCUUGAACUCAGUUACCAUAUGGCAAAUGGCACCUAUGUCGUCUUUUGUCGGAAGAGUUUCAAUGUCGGGCAGAACGAAAUCCUCAAGCUGCGAUUUGAUUUCAAGCAACAUCGCCUCGAGGGUUCGCACAUCCUCCUUGAUCACCUUCUCUGAGGCGUCUUCGGGCUGCGCGGUGUUUGUUUUCAACUCUUCCACAACGACCCAGAUAUCCUUGACGAUGGUUUCAAGAUUCUCUAGUUCUGAUUUUGAUGCACCGUGUGUUUCCACAUGAGCAGCAAAGCCAUCCAAAAUUUCCUUUGUCUCCUUUGCGAGCGCCUCCAGCGCAUCAGCCCUAUCUGCCGUUAUUCCAUUCGGGCUACUUGUCUCUACUAGCUCGUCAACCUUGGCUUUCAUGUUUACGAGCAGGGUUUCAAUGGCUUCAGUAUCCUCCUUUUUGGCAGCAUUUUCGUCCACUGCGGCCGGGAGGGGUUCACGACUAGCAACUUCGAUCACUAGUUCUUGUACUUCUUUAAUAGAGUUUAGGACAUCCACAAGGUCAUUUUUUUCCACAAGAUUGGCAAGGUUUUCCGAAUCACGUGGUCGGGGUUCAAUUGCUUCGACCUUAUUCUGGAGCUGAGUAACGAGAACUUUCAGACUUUCAAUGUCGCUUCCAAUCAAGGAUUCGUUCGCAAGCAUAACCUCUUGGCCGCGUGCGGUUUGAGUGCCUUCGGCCUCUUUCUGAUCAUGGCGGAGUUGUUCAAUUUCAAACUUGACGCUUGCUAAACCGUCCCUUAGUAAAGUGAAAAGCUCCUCACUUGCGCUUGUGGUUGUCUCCGCUGGCCUAUUCAUGAUCUUUUCCAUAUCAGAGCGGAGGAUAUCGAUUCCGUCAUGGAAGGCAUCGAGGAGUUCCCCAGUGUUAGAAAAAACACUCUCAUUUCCAUCUUUCCUUCUGUUGUGCUCGUCUUGAAUUGCUUCAAAACUCUCCCUGAGAAUGGAAAUUAAUUCGUCUCUUUCAAGAGUCGAAUUUGGUCUCAUAAUUGUGAGGGUAAGGGUUUCCCGUAGAUGCUCGAAUUCCUCUUUAACCAUCUGAGAAGUUUCCGAACUGUUGUUUUUUGAAGUAUCACUUUCUGCAAGAUCGCGGAUAGCAUCAAGAAUUUCAUCCUUGUCACUCGAAGCGCUGUUUCUAAUCAGCA